This is a transfer RNA of Camelus ferus (Wild Bactrian camel), 72 nucleotides long. It matches the Rfam family "tRNA". Rfam says of the family: Transfer RNA (tRNA) molecules are approximately 80 nucleotides in length. The record is from Rfam. NCBI's taxonomy places the organism in Eukaryota, Metazoa, Chordata, Mammalia, Artiodactyla, Camelidae.
GAAGGUAGAGCUCAGUGGUGAAGUGUGUGCUUAGCAUGCAUGUGGUCCUGUGUUCAAUCCCCUGUACCUCCA